Small nuclear RNA from Peromyscus maniculatus bairdii (prairie deer mouse), 107 nucleotides. Lineage: Eukaryota; Metazoa; Chordata; Mammalia; Rodentia; Cricetidae. The record is from Ensembl.
GUGCUUGCUAUGGCAGCUCAUAUACUAAAAUUGGAACUAUACAGAAAUGAUUAGAACAGCUCCUGUGCAAAGACUGAAUGAUAAUUCAUAAAUCAUUCCAUAUUUUG